This 206-nucleotide ribosomal RNA is filed under the name uncultured bacterium. RNAcentral's name for it is "partial 16S ribosomal RNA". It matches the Rfam family "Bacterial small subunit ribosomal RNA", at positions 568 to 774 of the family's 1533-position model. The record is from RNAcentral.
CGCGCAGGCGGUCGAUCAAGUCGAGUGUGAAAGCCCCCGGCUCAACUGGGGAGGGUCAUUCGAUACUGAUCGACUCGAAGGCAGGAGAGGGUAGUGGAAUUCCCGGUGUAGUGGUGAAAUGCGUAGAUAUCGGGAGGAACACCAGUGGCGAAGGCGACUACCUGGCCUGUCCUUGACGCUGAGGCGCGAAAGCUAGGGAGCAAACG